This 666-nucleotide ribosomal RNA is filed under the name Klebsiella pneumoniae. RNAcentral's name for it is "bacterial SSU rRNA". It matches the Rfam family "Bacterial small subunit ribosomal RNA", at positions 38 to 695 of the family's 1533-position model. Lineage: Bacteria; Pseudomonadati; Pseudomonadota; Gammaproteobacteria; Enterobacterales; Enterobacteriaceae. The record is from RNAcentral.
GGCGGCAGGCCUAACACAUGCAAGUCGAGCGGUAGCACAGAGAGCUUGCUCUCGGGUGACGAGCGGCGGACGGGUGAGUAAUGUCUGGGAAACUGCCUGAUGGAGGGGGAUAACUACUGGAAACGGUAGCUAAUACCGCAUAACGUCGCAAGACCAAAGUGGGGGACCUUCGGGCCUCAUGCCAUCAGAUGUGCCCAGAUGGGAUUAGCUAGUAGGUGGGGUAACGGCUCACCUAGGCGACGAUCCCUAGCUGGUCUGAGAGGAUGACCAGCCACACUGGAACUGAGACACGGUCCAGACUCCUACGGGAGGCAGCAGUGGGGAAUAUUGCACAAUGGGCGCAAGCCUGAUGCAGCCAUGCCGCGUGUGUGAAGAAGGCCUUCGGGUUGUAAAGCACUUUCAGCGGGGAGGAAGGCGUUAAGGUUAAUAACCUUGGCGAUUGACGUUACCCGCAGAAGAAGCACCGGCUAACUCCGUGCCAGCAGCCGCGGUAAUACGGAGGGUGCAAGCGUUAAUCGGAAUUACUGGGCGUAAAGCGCACGCAGGCGGUCUGUCAAGUCGGAUGUGAAAUCCCCGGGCUCAACCUGGGAACUGCAUUCGAAACUGGCAGGCUAGAGUCUUGUAGAGGGGGGUAGAAUUCCAGGUGUAGCGGUGAAAUGCGUAGAG